GGGGCCAGCAGGGGAAGCAGUGGUCACAAGCAGAGGUUGGAAGCUGGCUUAUUAAGAUGAAAGGGAAGAAGGAAAUCUUCUGCAUGGCUGCAUCUCAAAAAGCAGGUAUUUCUCAAAGAAAUUGGCCCAGUUUGUCCUAGCUCUGGUUUGGGUCUGCACCCAGUCCCUGGUGGGAUCUAGAAGAGCUUUUGGGGUCAUACUACUUCCCUCCCCUUGGUCAUCUUCAUGAGAUGUACAUCCAUCCCAAAACAACACUGCUGACCCACACAGAGAGGAAGCUGUUUGUAGCACCACAAAAGCUUCUUGGCUGACCCACCAAGGCAAAGAGAAACCGGACUGCAGUAGUGCAACUGUCCAACAUGUUUGCCUGCCCCACACCUACAGAGAGUCCCUUGAAAAUCCAUUUGAAAUGAACAAAAACAAAGUAAGGAUUUCAGUGCAGGUUUGGUCUGUAGAUUCAAACAUUAUUGAGCUGUACUGGCACGUUAUCAAUGGCACUUUCCAAAUUGAUAUUGACAGCAAAAAUCAUACUGUUGACAUCAGUAGUUUGUGAAAAAUUGAAUGAUCGAGCAUCAGCUGUUGUGCCUGAGAAUUUCUGUCUUUAUUUCAAGUGCCACAGUGACUGCUUCCUACCCAAACAUGCUCCUCUGCUGCAAGGGACUGCCCAAGUAGGAUGUACACAGGGCUGCCACCUGAAAUGUCUGCCUGCUCCCCAUGCCCGCUUCUGUCCUCGGGUGUUCAUUGAGCUUUGCCUUGCAGCACUGUCACAGCCUCAGCUGCCCCACUUCCUUCUGCUGUGAAGGACUGCAGGAAGAGGUCAGUUAGAGAAACUGCAGGCUUAGCUGAUGCAGAUGCGCUUCAGCAGCAGACUGCAGUGGUGUCGGCUGAGGAAGGCUGUGAAAGGUAGAGAGGCAGUUGUUUUACUUUUGUCUUUCUGCCAGUUGUCCCAUUGCCCAGAGUGUGUGAUUUGUGAGUUUCCUUUGGCAUGGCUGCUCCAUUGCUUAUAUAUCUCUGAGCAGUGUUUCAGGUCAGUUGGUCCGUGGGGUGGUGGCCAUCUUUUAUUUCAAGGGGGAUAGAGUUCAGGGGUAGGAUCAAAUGUGUGGAGGAGACGGCAGCCAGGUGGAGAUCACAUUAGUGUUGUUAAAUUUAUUUCUAGCAUGGGAAGGGUGAGUGUUAGCGAGAGAGAACAAGCCUGAAAGAUGUCCUUUGAGACAAGGCCAGGAAAGAAAGCCUUGGGAUGCAGCUUUGGCUGUAGAGCAAUCUGGGCUGAGAUUCUUUUGAAUUUUUGGGGCCACCGCUUUGCCAUUAAUGUUUUUGUAAGUAUAUUUCAUACAUUUAAUGUAUGAAACUGUAUGAAAUGUAUGAAAUGACACUUCAUUUCCUAAU
Molecule: long non-coding RNA, 1386 nt
Organism: Gallus gallus (chicken)
Lineage: Eukaryota; Metazoa; Chordata; Aves; Galliformes; Phasianidae
Source: Ensembl